AAAGGAAUAGACGGGGGCCCGCACAAGCAGCGGAGCAUGUGGUUUAAUUCGAAGCAACGCGAAGAACCUUACCAAGACUUGACAUCCCUUGAGAACUAAGGAAACUUAGUUGGCCCUUCGGGGACAAGGAGACAGGUGGUGCAUGGUUGUCGUCAGCUCGUGUCGUGAGAUGUUGGGUUAAGUCCCGCAACGAGCGCAACCCUUGUGUAUAGUUACCAGUAUUAAGUUAGGGACUCUAUACAGACUGCCGUGGACAACACGGAGGAAGGUGGGGACGACGUCAAAUCAUCAUGCCCCUUAUGUCUUGGGCUACACACGUGCUACAAUGGCCGCAACAGAGGGCAGCGAAGUGGUAACAUGGAGCGAAUCUCACAAAAGCGGUCUCAGUUCGGAUUGUGGGCUGCAACCCGCCCACAUGAAGAUGGAGUUGCUAGUAAUCGCGAAUCAGCAUGUCGCGGUGAAUGCGUUCCCGGGCCUUGUACACACCGCCCGU
RNAcentral lists this ribosomal RNA (493 nucleotides) under uncultured bacterium. RNAcentral describes it as "bacterial SSU rRNA". It matches the Rfam family "Bacterial small subunit ribosomal RNA", at positions 903 to 1397 of the family's 1533-position model. The record is from RNAcentral.